Molecule: ribosomal RNA, 121 nt
Filed under: Citrus sinensis (sweet orange)
Lineage: Eukaryota; Viridiplantae; Streptophyta; Magnoliopsida; Sapindales; Rutaceae
Source: RNAcentral
GGGUGCGACCAUACCAGCACUAAUGCACCGGAUCCUAUCAGAACUCCGCAGUUAAGCGUGCUUGGGCGAGAACAGUACUAAAAGAUGAGUGACCUCUUGGGAAGUCCUCGUGUUACACCCC